GAGGGUAUAGCUCAGUGGUAGAGUGCAUGCUUAGCAUUCACAAGGUCUGGGGUUCAUUCCCCAGUAUCUCCA
Molecule: transfer RNA, 72 nt
Filed under: Camelus bactrianus (Bactrian camel)
Lineage: Eukaryota; Metazoa; Chordata; Mammalia; Artiodactyla; Camelidae
Also listed under: 2 other names
Rfam family: tRNA
About the family: Transfer RNA (tRNA) molecules are approximately 80 nucleotides in length.
Source: Rfam by way of RNAcentral